Molecule: ribosomal RNA, 503 nt
Filed under: uncultured bacterium
Lineage: Bacteria
Description: partial 16S ribosomal RNA
Rfam family: Bacterial small subunit ribosomal RNA
Source: RNAcentral
AUUGAACGCUGGCGGCAGGCUUAACACAUGCAAGUCGAGCGGGGUGAUGGUGCUUGCACUAUCACUUAGCGGCGGACGGGUGAGUAAUGCUUAGGAAUCUGCCUAUUAGUGGGGGACAACAUCUCGAAAGGGAUGCUAAUACCGCAUACGUCCUACGGGAGAAAGCAGGGGAUCACUUGUGACCUUGCGCUAAUAGAUGAGCCUAAGUCGGAUUAGCUAGUUGGUGGGGUAAAGGCCUACCAAGGCGACGAUCUGUAGCGGGUCUGAGAGGAUGAUCCGCGACACUGGGACUGAGACACGGCCCAGACUCCUACGGGAGGCAGCAGUGGGGAAUAUUGGACAAUGGGGGGAACCCUGAUCCAGCCAUGCUGCGUGUGUGAAGAAGGCCUUAUGGUUGUAAAGCACUUUAAGCGAGGAGGAGGCUCUUUUGGUUAAUACCCAAGAUGAGUGGACGUUACUCGCAGAAUAAGCACCGGCUAACUCUGUGCCAGCAGCCGCAGUAA